GCACAUGAAAAGAUGCUCAACAUCACUAAUUAUUAGAGAAAUGCAAAUCAAAACUACAGUGAGGCACCACCUCACACCAGUCAGAAUGGCCAUCAUUAAAAAGUCUA
Aethalodelphis obliquidens (Pacific white-sided dolphin) is the source of this 107-nucleotide long non-coding RNA. RefSeq lists it as uncharacterized. The transcript has 2 exons. NCBI's taxonomy places the organism in Eukaryota, Metazoa, Chordata, Mammalia, Artiodactyla, Delphinidae. The record is from RefSeq and is a predicted model, not a curated record.